UACGUAGGGACCAAGCGUUGUCCGGAAUCAUUGGGCGUAAAGAGCGUGUAGGCGGCUUGUUAAGUCUUGCGUGAAAUCUCGGGGCUCAACCCCGAGCGGUCGUGAGAAACUGGCAGGCUAGAGUGCGGGAGAGGAGAGUGGAAUUCCUGGUGUAGUGGUGAAAUGCGUAGAUAUCUGGAGGAACACCGGUGGCGAAGGCGGCAUCCUGGACCGAGAUUGACGCUGAGGCGCGAAAGCCAGGGGAGCAAACGGG
Molecule: ribosomal RNA, 253 nt
Filed under: uncultured bacterium
Lineage: Bacteria
Description: partial 16S ribosomal RNA
Rfam family: Bacterial small subunit ribosomal RNA
Source: RNAcentral